RNAcentral lists this ribosomal RNA (274 nucleotides) under uncultured bacterium. Its description in RNAcentral is "partial 16S ribosomal RNA". It matches the Rfam family "Bacterial small subunit ribosomal RNA", at positions 523 to 796 of the family's 1533-position model. The record is from RNAcentral.
AUACGGAGGGUGCAAGCGUUAUCCGGAAUCAUUGGGUUUAAAGGGUCCGUAGGCGGAUAAUUAAGUCAGGGGUGAAAUCCCACAGCUCAACUGUGGCACUGCCUUUGAUACUGGUUAUCUUGAGUUAUAGGGAAGUAGAUAGAAUAUGUAGUGUAGCGGUGAAAUGCAUAGAUAUUACAUAGAAUACCGAUUGCGAAGGCAGUCUACUAUCUGUAUACUGACGCUGAGGGACGAAAGCGUGGGGAGCGAACAGGAUUAGAAACCCUAGUAGUCC